This is an RNA transcript of Felis catus (domestic cat), 3946 nucleotides long. It is a transcript of the gene named major facilitator superfamily domain containing 8, with no coding region annotated. The transcript is spliced from 14 exons. The record is from RefSeq and is a predicted model, not a curated record. NCBI's taxonomy places the organism in Eukaryota, Metazoa, Chordata, Mammalia, Carnivora, Felidae.
UGUGAGCUGUUACAGACAAAUUUGCAAGACUGAAUCCAAGCCCAAAAAGUCAAGUCUGGAUUCAGAAAAUAAUUCUGAACUAACAGAAAACACAUUUUGAGUCCAGCUGUUCAUGUGCCUGACAAGAUAAACACAAGAAGGUCACAAAAAAGACAAAGGUUAACUGAUGGCAUUUACCACACAACAUAUAACUAAUAUAGGGCCUGGCAUAGGGUAACUGCUUAUAAAUAUUGGUUGAAAGAAUUGAACUGAAUUGAAUUGAAUCCCAAUUCUGCCACCAAGUGACUCUGAGUAAGUUAUCAACUUGUCUGAACCUUAGUUCUCUGUGACAUAUAAAUGUGUCUGUUUUAUCUAUCUCAUAGGACAGUUGUUAUCAAAUGAAAUCACAUGAGAAUGUGUUGGCACUAACAAAACAAUAAUUAUGACAUAUAAUGACUACUGGUACUAAUUAGCUCAGAAGCCUACUUGUAAGAUGCUAAUAUGUAAGUACAAGGAAAGAGCAUCAAAAUCUACUGGGGAAAAAACCCCAUAUUUUCGAAAAAUGUCAUCUUUAUGAUGAAAGGAGCUGGUCACCGCUAAACUGGUGCUGUGCCUUUUCUAACCCGUAGGUUACAGCGGCAGGGUCUGCUGAGUGGCAUCGUGUUUGACUGAAUCCCCCAGUCAGCGCAGGCAGCAGUAAGAUGCCGAUUUGAGGGUCCCCAUCUACAGAACCACCAUCCAGGCCCAAACAAGGCACUACCGUUGGUGGGCGCGCACGCGCACUUGCCGGCUUCUUUUGACAGCUUUGGCCAAGUGAGAAGGAAGGGGAGCAGGAGGUGUCGCGAGAGUUGGCCUCCGCCUCGUAGGCGAUGUAACUAUGGCGAGUCCGGGGAUCGACACGGAGCAGGAGCCGCUCCUCGGCGACCGCACACCCGGAAGCAGAGAAUGGGAUAUUAUAGAAACUGAAGAGCAUUAUAAGAGCCGAUGGAUAUCUAUUAGGAUUCUGUAUCUUACUAUGUUUUUCAGCAGUGUAGGAUUUUCUAUUGUGAUAAUGUCAAUAUGGCCAUAUCUCCAAAAGAUUGAUCAGACAGCUGAUGCAAGUUUUUUGGGCUGGGUUAUUGCUUCAUUUAGUCUUGGCCAAAUGGUAGCUUCACCUGUAUUUGGUUUGUGGUCUAAUUAUAGACCAAGAAAAGAACCUCUUAUUGUCUCCAUCUUCAUUUCGGUCAUGGCUAACUGCCUCUAUGCAUAUAUCCACGUUCCAGCUUCUCAUAAUAAAUACUACAUGUUGGUUGCUCGUGGAUUGGUGGGAUUUGGAGCAGGAAAUGUAGCAGUUGUUAGAUCAUACAUUGCUGGUGCUACUUCCCUUCAGGAAAGAAUAAGUUCCAUGGCAAACACAAGUGCAUGUCAAGCAUUAGGCUUUAUUCUAGGUCCAGUUUUUCAGACUUGUUUUGCACUCAUUGGAGAAAAGGGUGUGACAUGGGAUGCCAUUAAGCUGCAGAUAAAUAUGUACACAGCACCAGUUUUACUUGGCGCAUUCCUGGGAGUUUUAAAUAUUAUUCUGAUCCUUACUCUAUUAAGAGAACAUCGUGUGGAUGACUCAGGACGACAGUGUAAAAAUGUUAAUUUUGAAGAAGCAAGUACAGAUGAAGUUCAGUUUCCCCAAGGAAAUAUUGAUCAAGUUGCUGUUUUGGCCACCAAUGUUCUGUUUUUUGUGGUUCUAUUUAUCUUUGCCCUUUUUGAAACCAUCGUUACUCCAUUAACAAUGGAUAUGUAUGCCUGGACUCGAAAACAAGCUGUAUUAUAUGAUGGAAUAAUACUUGCUGCUCUUGGAGUUGAGGCAAUUCUUAUUUUCAUGGGGGUUAAAUUACUUUCCAAGAAGAUUGGUGAGCGUGCUAUUCUACUGGGAGGACUCAUCGUUGUAUGGGUUGGCUUCUUUAUCUUGUUACCUUGGGGAAAUCAGUUUCCCAAAAUACAGUGGGAAGAGUUACAUAAUAAUUCAAUCCCUAAUACCACAUUUGGGGAAAUUAUUAUUACUCUUUGGAAGUCUCCAAGAGAAGAUCACAACGAAGGACCCACUGGUUGCCCAAUUGAACAAGCCUGGUGCUUCUACACUCCCAUGAUCCAUCUGGCUCAGUUCCUCACAGCAGCUAUGCUAAUUGGAGUAGGCUAUCCAUCCUGCAAUGUUACGUCCUAUACGUUGUAUUCAAAAGUUCUGGGACCAAAACCUCAGAUUCCCAAACCACUGUUGCACCAUUUCAGUCUGUGAUGUCUGGUCUGGAAAUGGAAAAGGAGUUUUUCCUGGACCAAGAUGAUUGGAGCUAAACAGAGAAAAAGAAUUCUCAAAAACUAAUAAAAAAUUAUCAGGUGAGUAUCUUUCUUCGUCUACUCCUGAUCUUUUGGAUUUGGACAGCAUUUCAGCUGAGUGACAUCGUUCCAUUGUAUUUGUUUUUGCUCGAGACUGACUAUUAAAAGUGCCCGAUCUAUCAGAGGAAUGGGCUCUGCGAAGGUAUCGAGAGUGUGGCCUUUCUUCUGCAUCCUGGAUUACUCUUCCCCUUCCACUAUUACUGGUUUCUUGUUCUUGGUUUCCCCACUGAGUAUAAAAACUGCUUCCAUCUCCUGAAGAAGAAAAAUCGCUUGUAUUUUUAUUCUUUGGAAAUAUAGUCAUUUUAUUUGGGAGUGGCUGACCAAUCAAAAGUCGUCUUCUGUCAAAUAAACUACCACUUAUACUGGUACUGGAAGAAGCUGUAAUUGCAGUAGAAAUUGUGGCAUGUCCACUGUCAAUGGAGUCUUCUACAGUUCCUAAAUCUUUACUUUUUGUUGAAGAAUUUCGGGACAUAAAAGGAUGGUCUAAUACUGAAGACAAACUUAAACGAUCUGCUGGAUUUCUACGAAGUAACUGGUGAAUAAGGUCCUUGGCCUCUCUUGUCAAAAAAGUUGGCAUUUCAUAAUCUGCCAAUACUACUUUAUUUAAUGUGUUCUUGACUGUGUCAGUGUCAAAUGGUGGUCUUCCAAUAAGCAACGUAUAAAACAUACAGCCCAAGGACCAAACAUCAGAUUCAAGUCCAUGUGCACUUCGAGUUGCAAUUUCUGGUGAAAUGUAAUUAGGAGUUCCACAUAAUGUAUAGUGCUUUUCAUGUGGCAUUUUCAAUUGAGUUGCCAGCCCAAAAUCAGCAAUCUUGAUGUUCAUAUUACGUGUAAGUAAGAGGUUAGAAAGUGUGAGGUCCCGGUGUAAUAUACCAUGAGAAUGGAGAUACAACAUUCCUGUGAUGAUCUGGUGCAUGAAGUGUCGAGCUGUUAGAAUACAAACAAUAAAAUUUACAAUUUAGAAAAUCUGAAAGGUUCAGUACUUACAAUCUUAGAAUUCAGUAUUUAGAAACCCAAGUACAUGUGCCACAAUAUUACAUUAGAACACCAGCUUGCAGCUUAGUAGUUUGAUAAACCAAAAUACUACUAUGGUAAUUUCUUAAGAUUUUUAAACUUUUAAAACAACUAGGCACUUCUGCUAAUCUUUGUCCUUUCUAACUGAUGCAUUAAGGAGUUUAAUAUUAUUAGCAAUUGGGAGAGACUUGAGUAACUAGGGUACCCAGAAGGCCAUAGCAAUUAAGAGAAAAUAUUUAUAAUUGCAUGAACAAUUCAUAAAUACAUUUUAUUGUAAAAAAGAAAAAAAGAAAGCAAGUAAAGUUCCUCUGAUGUCCUUCCUCCCAAGCCCUAACAAAAAAAUAACCGCUAUUAAUAGUGUAUAUAUAUUAUUUUAUAUAAAUUUACAGAAAUACACUGUAAUAAAUGUUAUAUGUAAAAAGGUAUACAAAUAUAUAGAUUCAUUACUUUUUUCCCCACUUCACAGUAUUUCUUGAAAUAUUUCCAUAUCAGUACACAUAAAUCUUCAUUUUAUUUAAUUGCUAUUAAUGAGUAAUUUCCGUUACUUCAAGAUUACAAAAACAUAGCAAUAAACAUUCUGGAAAUUCUU